This 101-nucleotide small nucleolar RNA is filed under the name Cavia aperea (Brazilian guinea pig). RNAcentral describes it as "Small nucleolar RNA SNORA42/SNORA80 family (ENSCAPG00000002045.1)". It matches the Rfam family "Small nucleolar RNA SNORA42/SNORA80 family", at positions 34 to 136 of the family's 136-position model. Rfam says of the family: The members of this family belong to the H/ACA class of snoRNAs that guide the sites of modification of uridines to pseudouridines. Human ACA42 (SNORA42) was cloned from HeLa cells by immunoprecipitation with anti-GAR1 antibody. Its is predicted to guide the pseudouridylation of residues U109 and U572 of 18S rRNA. The record is from RNAcentral. Lineage: Eukaryota; Metazoa; Chordata; Mammalia; Rodentia; Caviidae.
GUGGGCCUCUCAUAGUGUCCCAUGCGAGAGCAAACUGUGACCCCAAACCAUUGCCUGGCCUCUGUCCAUGGGCUACUGGCACUGAAGCGGGUUACACAGCA